This 519-nucleotide ribosomal RNA is filed under the name uncultured bacterium. Its description in RNAcentral is "bacterial SSU rRNA". It matches the Rfam family "Bacterial small subunit ribosomal RNA", at positions 8 to 518 of the family's 1533-position model. The record is from RNAcentral.
AGAGUUUGAUUAUGGCUCAGGAUGAACGCUAGCUACAGGCUUAACACAUGCAAGUCGAGGGGCAGCAUUUGAAAGCUUGCUUCAAAGAUGGCGACCGGCGCACGGGUGAGUAACGCGUAUCCAACCUUCCCCUUAGUAGGGCAUAGCCCGGCGAAAGUCGGAUUAAUACCCUAUGUUUUCCGUUGAGGACAUCUGAAGUGGAACAAAGAUUCAUCGCUAAGGGAUGGGGAUGCGUCUGAUUAGGUAGUCGGCGGGGUAACGGCCCACCGAGCCAACGAUCAGUAGGGGUUCUGAGAGGAAGGUCCCCCACAUUGGUACUGAGACACGGACCAAACUCCUACGGGAGGCAGCAGUGAGGAAUAUUGGUCAAUGGGCGCGAGCCUGAACCAGCCAAGUAGCGUGCAGGAAGACGGCCCUAUGGGUUGUAAACUGCUUUUGCAGGGGAAUAAAGUGAGGCACGUGUGCCUUUUUGUAUGUACCCUGAGAAUAAGGACCGGCUAAUUCCGUGCCAGCCGCUGC